CCCUUAGAUGUCCUGGGCUGCACGCGCGCUACACUGACAUGUUCAACAAGCCUCCUAGUUCGACAGGAUUUGGGAAAUCUUUGAACGCAUGUCGUGAUAGGGAUAGAUCAUUGCAAUUAUUGAUCUUGAACGAGGAAUUCCUAGUAAACGCGAGUCAUCAGCUCGCAUUGAUUACGUCCCUGCCCUUUGUACACACCGCCCGUCGCACCUACCGAUUGAAUGUUUCGGUGAAGAUUCCGGAUAGGACUUUUUUGAUUUAUUUCAAUUUUGUCUUAAAAGCUAUCUAAACCUCAACAUUUAGAGGAAGGUGAAGUCGUAACA
RNAcentral lists this ribosomal RNA (321 nucleotides) under uncultured eukaryote. Its description in RNAcentral is "partial 18S ribosomal RNA". It matches the Rfam family "Eukaryotic small subunit ribosomal RNA", at positions 1470 to 1796 of the family's 1831-position model. The record is from RNAcentral.